GUAGGUAGAGCACAUCCUUGGUAAGGAUGAGGUCCUCAGUUCAAUUCUGGGUAUCAGCACCA
RNAcentral lists this transfer RNA (62 nucleotides) under Candidatus Photodesmus anomalopis. RNAcentral describes it as "Candidatus Photodesmus katoptron tRNA-Thr". It matches the Rfam family "tRNA", at positions 15 to 71 of the family's 71-position model. From Rfam's summary of the family: Transfer RNA (tRNA) molecules are approximately 80 nucleotides in length. Their secondary structure includes four short double-helical elements and three loops (D, anti-codon, and T loops). The record is from RNAcentral. Lineage: Bacteria; Pseudomonadati; Pseudomonadota; Gammaproteobacteria; Vibrionales; Vibrionaceae.